GAGGAUUGCUCAUUGCUGGCUGCAAGUAAUACAGUAUAACGAACAGGCUUUACUUUUUAUAUUACAGCUAAAAUGUCAUCAUCUUUUUUCAAAUAACUAUCUGUUUACAUUUAUUUAAAUUCGUGCAUCAUGCUCAAAAGUGUGCUGCUCAUCUGUUUCUUUAUUCUACUUUUGAAUGAAGCGUCUGUCCAGGAAGUAGUAGUUCAGGGUUUUAUCGGAGGUUCUGCAGUUUUGCCGUGCCAUCCUGGGAACAGAAGUCUUGCACGCAUCAAUGCACACUGGAGAUAUGAUGACAGGAAGAAUGUUUAUGACAUACUAAAUGGCAUGGCGAUGACUAAGGAGCAGGACCCAGAGUACAAGGGCAGAACUGUUACGUUCCCUGCAGAGUAUUCGAAGGGAAACUUCUCCCUCAAGCUCGGGAGUCUUCAGAAAAGUGAUGAAGGGUCGUACUGCUGCUUCAUCCCCGAGCUUGGUCUCAACGAAUGCGUAAAUCUUCAAGUCAAAGAGAAACCAAUAGGAAUCCAAAAGCCAGGCUCUAAUGGUGGAGUUGAAACCACAGCAGGGAGGAUUGUAUCUCUGUUAAUUCCCCUCUUCUCUGUUACUCUUCAGCUCUGAGUAUGAAGCUAUAUAAUGCACACCUCAGCCUCAACUCAAAUCUUCCCCGGUUGUGCGACACGCACUUGUUUGUGCAUGAGCAAAGCUAUUUUUAGGAGUCUAACUUGAAAACGCCAGACCACUGAUUCGUCAAACUAGUCUAUGUUCUUCCAACUAUUUUAUAGAAUCCUGAAGGUUUGAUAAAACGUGACUUGUAUUGGAUUGUAUUUAGUUAUAAAGACCUCACCUGCUUCAGGCUGAUCUGUUUCAAUGCAGUGUAUGCAGUAGCUUUAUUUAUUUGUUUAUUUAAUAUAAAAUAAUUAUAUUUGUAUUUAAUUUAAUAUUCAAGUUAUUUAAUUUAGUUUAAUAUGUAUAUGUUGAAUUGAUUAAACUAGUUCAAGCCCUUGUCAAUAUGUUUUAUGUCUGUUGUGUAACAGUGCUAUGCUACCUGUAAUGCAAAUAAUUUGUGUUUAGAAAAAUAUGUUGUGUUGUUUAUAUAUAUAUUUAGUUCUUCUCACAACUGCUUGAGCUUUCUUGAAUAAAUAUAGAUGAUUAUAA
RNA transcript from Carassius gibelio (silver crucian carp), 1152 nucleotides. It is a transcript of the gene named CD276 antigen-like, with no coding region annotated. NCBI's taxonomy places the organism in Eukaryota, Metazoa, Chordata, Actinopteri, Cypriniformes, Cyprinidae. The record is from RefSeq and is a predicted model, not a curated record. The transcript is spliced from 6 exons.